Long non-coding RNA from Chelonia mydas (Green sea turtle), 306 nucleotides. RefSeq lists it as uncharacterized. The record is from RefSeq and is a predicted model, not a curated record. Lineage: Eukaryota; Metazoa; Chordata; Testudines; Cheloniidae. The transcript has 3 exons.
CCUUGCCCUGACCUGAAGAAGAGCUCUGUAUAGCUUGAAAGCUUGUCUCUCUCACCAACAGAAGUUGGUCCAAUAAAAGAUAUGUCACCCACCUUGUCUCUCUAAUAUCAUGGGACUGACACUGCUACAACAUUAGAAUGGGCCAUUUCCUAUGGAGCACACUUGUUUUUCCCUUCAGUGGUCUCUGAAAGGAAAAAGGUAGUAUUCUUCCACCAGUUUUGUCUGGAAACGUUAACUAGAUGUCUGUUUGAGUAGCAGCCGUGUUAGUAUGUAUCUGCAAAAAGAAAAGGAGUACUUGUGGCACCU